CUCUUCUCAGGGUGGCAUCUGGAGAGUUUCCAGUACUCUACCAGUCCCGACUACUGGAGGGAGAGUCAAGAAGAGGCCUUCCAUUCCAUUCCUAGCUUGGACAGUGGCUGGAGAGUGGAAGGCCAUCUGCUACAAGU
Molecule: small nucleolar RNA, 137 nt
Organism: Ornithorhynchus anatinus (platypus)
Lineage: Eukaryota; Metazoa; Chordata; Mammalia; Monotremata; Ornithorhynchidae
Source: RefSeq, a predicted model, not a curated record